Long non-coding RNA from Musa acuminata subsp. malaccensis (wild Malaysian banana), 1121 nucleotides. RefSeq lists it as uncharacterized. Lineage: Eukaryota; Viridiplantae; Streptophyta; Magnoliopsida; Zingiberales; Musaceae. The record is from RefSeq and is a predicted model, not a curated record.
CGCCGAAACAAUCAAGAAAAGCCCGACCUUGCGGAGAAACCCGCUCGAUCUUUUCUCCUCGCUUGAAUUCUCCGGAACUCCCAAGAAUCCGGCCGCGUCGAGACCGGACGAGGACGAUGGCCUGCAAACCCAUCGCCAACAGGCUCGGGAAGGAGGCGGGCAUCCACCCCGAGGUUCCGCCGCUUCAUCGUUACCCUCGAUCAGGUAAAAAGCUGAGCUUCCCCGUGUUACCGUCGGAAAAGUAUUGCUGGUGUAGGAGAUGAGCAUGCAGGUCUUCCCGACUGCCCCGUCGCCGACCGUCACGCAUUUGAUGAACCUUGCCGUGCUCAUCGUCGUAAUGGCACUGGCUUUAACCACCAUUGGGCCAACAAAGUAGGAAGGACAGAGAGGAAGAGCGAUGAAAGGUGGGGAUUUCUGCUGCAAAGUGUUUGAAUUUUGAAUGGGGGCCGGGGAACGUAGGGCGGACUAGGAAGUGGUGGUAGGAGAGGCCCCCUCCUCUUUAAUGAGGUGGGGAGCAGCGCCACCACCGCCAGGGGUGCACAGCUCAUGCAUGCUUCACGAAGGCUGAGCAAUGAUGGCCUGCUCCACACACCCGAUGGUGCUCUUUUGGUUUGCCUUGCUUUGGGUGCAAGAAGGAGCGCUAGGAUCAGCCAAUCUCCUUGGGCGUGAGUGUUGGUUGGUUGGUUAAGUGCGGGAGAAGGAUGGUGAUGAUGGGAUCAAGGGAGAUGGGUGGCCUCCUUUGGCUUGCUUAGUAGAAUUAAUUUUCCACCAAGUGAUCAUGAUUGCGUGGUCAUCCAAUCUUGGUGAGACCACUAAGUCCCUUUGGAAACUUGGGAAAGAAAAAAGGGGUGAAGCAACUCUUGGUGGGCUUAGGUAUAUCAAUUGCUUUUUUUAUGUGCAAAAAGUCUUCUGGACUUUUUAUUGCUCGUAUGAGAAGAAAUCCGAGUGGAAGUAUUGAGUACAUACCAUUCAUUUGCAACUAAAACUUCAUUAUAAUUGCAAGUACGAGUGAGUAUACAAAAAAAAAAAUUACGAAGUCGAAAUAUGGUUAAAUUUAAUAUCCCAGAGCAUUAUAGUCAUAUAUAAUGUGUGAUUUUAUUAAGUUUUAUUAUGAUUUUUGA